This 776-nucleotide ribosomal RNA is filed under the name uncultured Enterococcaceae bacterium. Its description in RNAcentral is "bacterial SSU rRNA". It matches the Rfam family "Bacterial small subunit ribosomal RNA", at positions 28 to 776 of the family's 1533-position model. The record is from RNAcentral. Lineage: Bacteria; Bacillati; Bacillota; Bacilli; Lactobacillales; Enterococcaceae.
GACGAACGCUGGCGGCGUGCCUAAUACAUGCAAGUCGAACGCUUUUUCUUUCACCGGAGCUUGCUCCACCGAAAGAAAAAGAGUGGCGAACGGGUGAGUAACACGUGGGUAACCUGCCCAUCAGAAGGGGAUAACACUUGGAAACAGGUGCUAAUACCGUAUAACAAGUAAAACCGCAUGGUUUUACUUUGAAAGGCGCUUUUGCGUCACUGAUGGAUGGACCCGCGGUGCAUUAGCUAGUUGGUGAGGUAACGGCUCACCAAGGCAACGAUGCAUAGCCGACCUGAGAGGGUGAUCGGCCACAUUGGGACUGAGACACGGCCCAAACUCCUACGGGAGGCAGCAGUAGGGAAUCUUCGGCAAUGGACGAAAGUCUGACCGAGCAACGCCGCGUGAGUGAAGAAGGUUUUCGGAUCGUAAAACUCUGUUGUUAGAGAAGAAUAAGGAUGAGAGUAAAAUGUUCAUCCCUUGACGGUAUCUAACCAGAAAGCCACGGCUAACUACGUGCCAGCAGCCGCGGUAAUACGUAGGUGGCAAGCGUUGUCCGGAUUUAUUGGGCGUAAAGCGAGCGCAGGCGGUUUCUUAAGUCUGAUGUGAAAGCCCCCGGCUCAACCGGGGAGGGUCAUUGGAAACUGGGAAACUUGAGUGCAGAAGAGGAGAGUGGAAUUCCAUGUGUAGCGGUGAAAUGCGUAGAUAUAUGGAGGAACACCAGUGGCGAAGGCGGCUCUCUGGGUCUGUACUGACGCUGAGGCUCGAAAGCGUGGGGAGCAAACAGG